ACCAAUGGGCAUAUUUCCUCAUAGUAAGACACUUCACGACAUCAAGUUCACUAGUACAAUGACUUGUGCUUUCUCAUGUGGUCUGAAAGUCCACUUCAUUUAUUCAUGGUGUCUGUAGAGACACUCUCAAGCCCUGCCUUAGUGAUGGAGGUCGCACCCCAUGCAAAAUUUAAUGAGCAUAAAAGAAUGCAGUAUAGACUAGGAAGUGACUCCUAGGUCGUCUCUCAAGGACCAAAUGUGGUUCGAGAAUCAGGUCAAACACGAAGUGGGGGGGGGGUUGUUGAAAGGUGUGUGAAUGCAGAUAAACAAAAUUAAAAUACGAAUGCAAACGGAAAUGUAAACACAUAUGUAAAAACGGUUUCAAAUACAGAAUGAAAACGGUUGGACAUUAACUCAAUUACUAUGCUUCCAAUCACAGAUCAACGACAAGUACACACUACUUUAAUCCAAAUCCGACACGAAUCACCCAACUAAGCGAAGGCUAAUUCGGUCUUCAAAAUUACAGACUAAGCGAAUGCAAUGCAAAAAAAAAAAAAAAAUCAGUCAUCCACCAUACAGUCUAAUCAACUAAGUGAAGAAUUGACACCGAUUAGGCAACUAAGCGUGUACCUAAUCGCAGGCAAACAACAAAUUAAAUAUUAAGCAGAAUCAAAGCAGCAGUAUGGCAAUUAAAGCUCAAAAGUCUCAGGGAAGCAAAGUAAUAUUAUUAACAACCAACCCGAAUAAUUUAAGUUAACAUCUCAACUAAAUUAUCAAAAUCAAACAGAACAAACAAUAUUAAAAUAAAUGAAAACAUUGAAAUAAAACAUUUAAUGCUAACAUGCGUGAACAAUAAAAUAGAAUAAAAAUGCAAAUGUAACAAGUAAACUAAAAAUAUAAAAAAUAAAAAAAUAAAAUAAACAAAAACAAUUCGGAAAAGCUUAUAAAAAAAUUUUGCGUUAAUAGUAUUGAGCAAAGCUAAAUACAAUUCAAUGUAAAUAAUAUAAAAUAUUCUCGGUGGAAGCUUAAAAGAAGAAAUGUUAGGAAAAUAUUAUUUAAUGCUAGAAAAUUAUAAUAUUAAAUUAAAAGGAGAAAUGUUCAUUUUAGCAACUUCAACAGUGUUUUUUUAAAACAGUAAAUUAAAAACACAUAACAUUGAAAAUGAAAUCUAGAACAAGGCUACUAAAGUAAAUGGAUUCAGCAUGUGACACUCCAAAAUCACAGUGAAUCAGCGUGUGUAUAUCUCCCAGCAAAAUGAAUGUCACUAAAUUCAAUAAAGAAAUAUAUUUCACAUGAACGUUUCUGCCAGCAAAAUGAAUGCACCG
This 1304-nucleotide long non-coding RNA is filed under the name Vigna radiata. Its description in RNAcentral is "long non-coding RNA (VRAD_LNC018268)". The record is from RNAcentral. Lineage: Eukaryota; Viridiplantae; Streptophyta; Magnoliopsida; Fabales; Fabaceae.